Molecule: ribosomal RNA, 274 nt
Filed under: uncultured bacterium
Lineage: Bacteria
Description: partial 16S ribosomal RNA
Rfam family: Bacterial small subunit ribosomal RNA
Source: RNAcentral
AUACGGAGGGUGCAAGCGUUAAUCGGAAUUACUGGGCGUAAAGCGUGCGUAGGCGGUUUGCUAAGUCAGAUGUGAAAGCCCCGGGCUUAACCAGGGAACUGCAUUUGAUACUGGCAGACUAGAGUAUGAUAGAGGGGGGUAGAAUUCCUGGUGUAGCGGUGAAAUGCGUAGAUAUCAGGAGGAAUACCAGUGGCGAAGGCGGCCCCCUGGAUCAAUACUGACGCUGAGGUACGAAAGCGUGGGGAGCGAACAGGAUUAGAAACCCCAGUAGUCC